RNAcentral lists this ribosomal RNA (468 nucleotides) under uncultured bacterium. RNAcentral's name for it is "partial 16S ribosomal RNA". It matches the Rfam family "Bacterial small subunit ribosomal RNA", at positions 28 to 507 of the family's 1533-position model. The record is from RNAcentral.
GACGAACGGGGGAGGGGGGAGGAACACAUGCAAGUCGAACGGAAAGGCCCUGCUUUUGUGGGGUGCUCGAGUGGCGAACGGGUGAGUAACACGUGAGUAACCUGCCCUUGACUUUGGGAUAACUUCAGGAAACUGGGGCUAAUACCGGAUAGGAGCUCCUGCUGCAUGGUGGGGGUUGGAAAGUUUCGGCGGUUGGGGAUGGACUCGCGGCUUAUCAGCUUGUUGGUGGGGUAGUGGCUUACCAAGGCUUGGACGGGUCGCCGGCCUGAGAGGGUGACCGGCCACAUUGGGACUGAGAUACGGCCCAGACUCCUACGGGAGGCAGCAGUGGGGAAUAUUGCACAAUGGGCGGAAGCCUGAUGCAGCAACGCCGCGUGCGGGAUGACGGCCUUCGGGUUGUAAACCGCUUUCGCCUGUGACGAAGCGGGAGUGACGGUAAUGGGUAAAGAAGCACCGGCUCCCUACGUU